GUCAGGGUCAACCGCAACAAGCUGCUGCGGGUCGCCGGCGGCAGGAACGGCGACGGCGCGGCGUUGGAGCUCGUCGCCGGCGCGGCGUACGCGAGGGCGCCGACGAAGCCGACCAACGCGUCGAGGGACACGGGGGGCAGGUGCCGCCGGCCGCGGUGCGCGGGGUGCCACCAGCACCCGCCCGCCGCCGCCGCCGCAUCCACCACCAAGGCGCGGGACAAGGCCAAGGGCGCGCGCAAGCUGCGCGCCGCCGACGUCGCGCUCAACCACCGCCUCGUCUCCUGGCGCGUCGUCGGCGGCGCCGGGGACGGCCCGGCCGCCACGGGCGGGUACAACUACAGGGGCGCC
Molecule: long non-coding RNA, 348 nt
Filed under: Hordeum vulgare
Lineage: Eukaryota; Viridiplantae; Streptophyta; Magnoliopsida; Poales; Poaceae
Description: long non-coding RNA (HVUL_LNC008326)
Source: RNAcentral